GGAGGUAGUGACAAUAAAUCACAAUGCGGGACUUCUAGUCUUGCAAUUGGAUUGAGAACAACGUACAACUCUUAUCGAUAAGCCAUUGGAGGGCAAGUCUGGUGCCAGCAGCCGCGGUAAUUCCAGCUCCAAUAGCGUAUAUUAACGUUGUUGCAGUUAAAAAGCUCGUAGUUGAAGUGAGGGAGUGUGUGGGUAUGAGAGCUAGUCUCAAGUACUUACAACCUCCCCCCUCCAAUCGGUGUAGUGGGGUAUUCACUUAUUUCACUACUCCUUUGGUCGUUUACUGUGAGAAACUUAGAGUGUUCAAAGCGGGCGUUUGUUUGAAUAGAUUAGCAUGGAAUAAUGAUUGAAGGCUUUCGUGUUCGAUUUGAUUGGUUUGUUCAUGUAAGCAAGGUUAAAAGGAACAGUUGGGGGUAUUCAUAUUCACUAGUUAGAGGUGAAAUUCUCGGAUUUAUGGAAGAUGAACAAGUGCGAAAGCA
This 479-nucleotide ribosomal RNA is filed under the name Blastocystis sp. RNAcentral's name for it is "SSU rRNA". It matches the Rfam family "Eukaryotic small subunit ribosomal RNA", at positions 460 to 953 of the family's 1831-position model. Lineage: Eukaryota; Bigyra; Opalinata; Blastocystidae. The record is from RNAcentral.